RNAcentral lists this ribosomal RNA (526 nucleotides) under uncultured bacterium. RNAcentral's name for it is "bacterial SSU rRNA". It matches the Rfam family "Bacterial small subunit ribosomal RNA", at positions 777 to 1304 of the family's 1533-position model. The record is from RNAcentral.
AAUAGAUACCCCGGUAGUCCACGCCGUAAACGAUGUCGACUUGGAGGUUGUUCCCUUGAGGAGUGGCUUCCGGAGCUAACGCGUUAAGUCGACCGCCUGGGGAGUACGGCCGCAAGGUUAAAACUCAAAUGAAUUGACGGGGCCCGCACAAGCGGUGGAGCAUGUGGUUUAAUUCGAUGCAACGCGAAGAACCUUACCUACUCUUGACAUCCAGAGAACUUAGCAGAGAUGCUUUGGUGCCUUCGGGAACUCUGAGACAGGUGCUGCAUGGCUGUCGUCAGCUCGUGUUGUGAAAUGUUGGGUUAAGUCCCGCAACGAGCGCAACCCUUAUCCUUUGUUGCCAGCGGUUCGGCCGGGAACUCAAAGGAGACUGCCAGUGAUAAACUGGAGGAAGGUGGGGAUGACGUCAAGUCAUCAUGGCCCUUACGAGUAGGGCUACACACGUGCUACAAUGGCGUAUACAAAGAGAAGCGACCUCGCGAGAGCAAGCGGACCUCAUAAAGUACGUCGUAGUCCGGAUUGGAGU